UACAGGAGGGUGCAAGCGUUAAUCGGAAUUACUGGGGCGUAAAGCGUGCGUAGACGGUUGCGUAAGUCAGAUGUGAAAGCCCCGGGCUCAACCUGGGAAUUGCAUUUGAGACUGCGUAGCUAGGGUGCGGAAGAGGGAAGCGGAAUUUCCGGUGUAGCGGUGAAAUGCGUAGAUAUCGGAAGGAACACCAGUGGCGAAAGCGGCUUCCUGGUCCAGCACCGACGUUCAGGCACGAAAGCGUGGGGAGCAAACAGG
RNAcentral lists this ribosomal RNA (255 nucleotides) under uncultured bacterium. RNAcentral's name for it is "partial 16S ribosomal RNA". It matches the Rfam family "Bacterial small subunit ribosomal RNA", at positions 524 to 776 of the family's 1533-position model. The record is from RNAcentral.